Molecule: ribosomal RNA, 200 nt
Filed under: Oidiodendron maius
Lineage: Eukaryota; Fungi; Ascomycota; Leotiomycetes; Myxotrichaceae
Description: partial large subunit ribosomal RNA
Rfam family: Eukaryotic large subunit ribosomal RNA
Source: RNAcentral
AGUAACGGCGAGUGAAGCGGCAACAGCUCAAAUUUGAAAUCUGGCCCUCUCAGGGUCCGAGUUGCAAUUUGGAGAGGAUGCUUCGGGUGUGGCCCCGGUCUAAGUUCCUUGGAACAGGACGUCACAGAGGGUGAGAAUCCCGUACGUGCCCGGUGGCCGCCCCCGUGUGAAGCUCCUUCGACGAGUCGAGUUGUUUGGGA